RNAcentral lists this ribosomal RNA (605 nucleotides) under Actinomycetales bacterium A227. Its description in RNAcentral is "bacterial SSU rRNA". It matches the Rfam family "Bacterial small subunit ribosomal RNA", at positions 27 to 647 of the family's 1533-position model. The record is from RNAcentral. Lineage: Bacteria; Bacillati; Actinomycetota; Actinomycetes; Actinomycetales.
GGACGAACGCUGGCGGCGUGCUUAACACAUGCAAGUCGAACGAUGAACCGCUUUCGGGCGGGGAUUAGUGGCGAACGGGUGAGUAACACGUGGGCAAUCUGCCCUGCACUCUGGGACAAGCCCUGGAAACGGGGUCUAAUACCGGAUAUGACUGUCCAUCGCAUGGUGGAUGGUGUAAAGCUCCGGCGGUGCAGGAUGAGCCCGCGGCCUAUCAGCUUGUUGGUGAGGUAGUGGCUCACCAAGGCGACGACGGGUAGCCGGCCUGAGAGGGCGACCGGCCACACUGGGACUGAGACACGGCCCAGACUCCUACGGGAGGCAGCAGUGGGGAAUAUUGCACAAUGGGCGAAAGCCUGAUGCAGCGACGCCGCGUGAGGGAUGACGGCCUUCGGGUUGUAAACCUCUUUCAGCAGGGAAGAAGCGAAAGUGACGGUACCUGCAGAAGAAGCGCCGGCUAACUACGUGCCAGCAGCCGCGGUAAUACGUAGGGCGCAAGCGUUGUCCGGAAUUAUUGGGCGUAAAGAGCUCGUAGGCGGCUUGUCACGUCGGUUGUGAAAGCCCGGGGCUUAACCCCGGGUCUGCAGUCGAUACGGGCAGGCUAGAGU